AUCCUGAGCAUAGCACAUACACUAAAACUGCAACAAUACAGAGAUUAACAUGGCUCCUGCUCAAGGAUGACACUCGUUUUUAGCUUUGUCUGGGCUCCUUUC
Molecule: small nuclear RNA, 102 nt
Organism: Cricetulus griseus (Chinese hamster)
Lineage: Eukaryota; Metazoa; Chordata; Mammalia; Rodentia; Cricetidae
Source: Ensembl